AUGACACGUUUUGGUUUUGAUCCGGUGUGGGUCGCGAUGAUAAUGAGAUGCGUCAGCUCGGCACGUUUUUCUGUAAAGUUAAAUGGUGGGCUAUCCAGGAGCUUUAUACCGUCUCGGGGUUUAAGACAAGGGGAUCCGUUGUCACCGUAUUUGUUUCUUUUCUGUGUGGAGGGAUUUUCAGCUCUACUCAAGAAGGCUCAAACUGACAAACAGCUUUCCGGGGUGAAGUUUGGGAGCACUGGCCCCCAUGUAACUCACUUAUUGUUUGCAGAUGAUAGUAUAGUUUUCCUUGAGGGAACCAAGGAGAAUAUGGAAACGCUAAAACAGAUUCUUGAGAAGUAUGAAAAAGCAUUCAGACAGAAGGUAAACUUGCAGAAGUCCUCGAUCUUUUUGGGAAAAGGAAGCCAAGAUGUGAUGAAGGAUCAGAUAAAGCAGAUUGUGGGGAUUCAAUCCGAGGCUCUUAGUGAACGAUAUUUGGGCCUCCCAACACUGGUUGGCAGGUCCAAGGAUGUCACUUUUAAACAUGUAACGGAGUGUGCUAAGGGCAAAGUGUGUGGUUGA
This 561-nucleotide ribosomal RNA is filed under the name Triticum aestivum (bread wheat). Its description in RNAcentral is "partial small subunit ribosomal RNA". Lineage: Eukaryota; Viridiplantae; Streptophyta; Magnoliopsida; Poales; Poaceae. The record is from RNAcentral.